RNAcentral lists this ribosomal RNA (493 nucleotides) under Aggregatibacter aphrophilus. RNAcentral describes it as "bacterial SSU rRNA". It matches the Rfam family "Bacterial small subunit ribosomal RNA", at positions 42 to 525 of the family's 1533-position model. The record is from RNAcentral. Lineage: Bacteria; Pseudomonadati; Pseudomonadota; Gammaproteobacteria; Pasteurellales; Pasteurellaceae.
GCAGGCUUACACAUGCAAGUCGAACGGUAGCAGGUAAGUACUUGUACUUAUGCUGACGAGUGGCGGACGGGUGAGUAAUGCUUGGGGAUCUGGCUUAUGGAGGGGGAUAACGACGGGAAACUGUCGCUAAUACCGCGUAGAAUCGAGAGAUGAAAGUGUGGGACCUUCGGGCCACAUGCCAUAGGAUGAACCCAAGUGGGAUUAGGUAGUUGGUGGGGUAAUGGCCUACCAAGCCGACGAUCUCUAGCUGGUCUGAGAGGAUGACCAGCCACACCGGGACUGAGACACGGCCCGGACUCCUACGGGAGGCAGCAGUGGGGAAUAUUGCGCAAUGGGGGCAACCCUGACGCAGCCAUGCCGCGUGAAUGAAGAAGGCCUUCGGGUUGUAAAGUUCUUUCGGUGACGAGGAAGGUUGUUGUGUGAAUAGCACAACAAAUUGACGUUAAUCACAGAAGAAGCACCGGCUAACUCCGUGCCAGCAGCCGCGGUAAUA